Molecule: long non-coding RNA, 1054 nt
Filed under: Mus musculus (house mouse)
Lineage: Eukaryota; Metazoa; Chordata; Mammalia; Rodentia; Muridae
Description: long non-coding RNA chr10:59266967-59268021
Source: RNAcentral
GCUCAGUGGGUAAGAGCACCCGACUGCUCUUCUGAAGGUCAGGAGUUCAAAUCCCAGCAACCACAUGGUGUCUCACAACCAUCUGUAACGAGAUCUGAUUCCCUCUUCUGGAGUGUCUGAAGACAGCUACAGUGUACUUACAUAUAAUAAGUAAAUAAAUAAAUCUUUAAAAAAAUUAAAGCAAGCUUUUUUAUUAGUGUGCACGGGUUGGGCCCCCCUAAGGUGGGGUUCCAGAGGUUAGCAUUAGGUGAGGAAGAUAAAGUUUUUAUAGCUCAGGAGUAGAGGGUUUCCAAACAGAGGAUUUGGCAGGCAAACAGGGUUAUAAAAGUAGAAUAUAACAAUUGGUCAUAAAAGCCUCUUGUGAAACAAAGACCUGGUCGCAAGGUGGUCUUAACAAGGUAGUCCUAACAAGCUGGUCAUGACAGCAGGUAGUCAUAAAAGAGUGGCCAUAACAAUCUCAGGGUUGCUGUUUUCUGGAACAGGCAGUACAAAUCCAUUUGUAGUCAAGGUUACGUGGUGCAGAGCAGAAUCCUUGAGAAACUGGUUUAAUCAUAAACAGGAAAGAGCCUAGUGUGUCUUUACCAAGAGAUGGUUUUCAAGCCUAGGGUGGAGGCAGCUGGUUCACUAUAUUGUGAGACCCUGGAUGCUACUUAAUCUUUUUUGCUUUUAACCAACAUCUUCCUGUCCAGUAGCAGGGAGCACAAGGGCUUCAUGGGUGAUGAAUGUUUUCAGCUUCCCGUAGAUUCCGCCAAAGUCAUCUCAGCAAAUGUAGAACAAACAGGUGCUCCUGAGUGGAGCUGAACUCCGUUCUAGAUCCUACUGACCUCGCUGUAAUGGUCGGCCUGGAGCGCGGGCAGCUUCCUUCAGGUGAGAGACGGACGGAUAGAAGAGCCGUUCCACCACAGUAUAGCUUAAUCUUAGUUUUCAGCUUUAUUGGAUCUGGAAUGAACUAGAAGACUGGCCUCGUGGCUGGAGAGAUGGCUCAGCGUUAGAGCAUUUGCUGCUCGUCUGAAGGACCCCGGCUGAGUUCCCAGCACUCAGGUCAGACAGCGCA